Long non-coding RNA from Capsicum annuum, 737 nucleotides. RefSeq lists it as uncharacterized. The record is from RefSeq and is a predicted model, not a curated record. NCBI's taxonomy places the organism in Eukaryota, Viridiplantae, Streptophyta, Magnoliopsida, Solanales, Solanaceae. The transcript has 2 exons.
UUAGGUGUAGGUUAUGCUGUGUAGAAGUUGAUUAAAGAUGCUGACUAUUCAGAUUUGAUUGUAUGGGUUUGUCAUCAUUACAAAGAGGGAAAUUGUUAAUCCCUUAGUUUUGAUGAUUGAUAAAUUCAUAGUUUGGGAUCUACUCCCUGGGUUUUUGUGCUGACAAAAUCUUCUACGCUUUAGGGAACAGAUUGGGCUCAUCUAUUGCUGUCACAGUCAAGUGUCUAGUUGACACAUAGUACAAAAGUUGGUUAGGUGCUGAGAUGCAAACAUUUUCAUUGUAAUCAUCUAGAGUUAGGUGAUUGUCCAAGAUAUAGUUAGCUUGAGGAGUCCAGUUAGAGUUAGCUGGAGCUGGAGGUGGAAGCAAUAGAGUUACUGCUUGGUUUCCUUGUAAUAGAGUUAUUACUAGGAAACAAAGGAUUCGGAGGUUAAUACUUAGAGUCUGUAUUCAAGAAGUUGCUUAAAUAUAGUCAAGCUCAAAAAUUCUGGAGGCAAGUCAUGGUUUUUCUCCCUUGUGCAAAGAGUUUCCAGGUAAAAAUCUUGCGUCCUUUAUUAUACAGUAUUCCUGUACUUCUUGUUUUACUUAUUUCCUAGUCCUUAUUGUGUGAGUGUAUUUGGGAAUAGUUCCUUGAUCUGAGGAGCAACCACCCCAACCCUUCAAGAACCAAAUUCUAAUGUAGUUCCCCCUGAUUAACACUUCUCUGCCUUUACAGUUGUAUAAUUAACAAUGUACUUAU